GCGGCUCAAUGUACAUAUGAUCUAUUUCUUCUUGGAGAUAUCUACUAUCAUAUUAUGACUUGGUGCUAUCUGAACCUUCUAUUUUCUCACCUUUUUUGGCGGCAAUUAUCCCUUAGACUGCAAUAGUUUUUAUAGGUGCCAUUGUAAGUGUAGGUUUUCUACAGUUAAGCCUCUUGCAUUGCAAAAAGCUACAUUCCAUUGUUUUUCUACGUGCCAUUGUAAGUGCAGGUUUUCUACUAGCUUCAACAUAGAUAAUUAGCAUGAGAGAGGCUUAACUGUAGCUUUUUGCAAUGCUAGAAGGACAUAUUCAGUACUGAAAAUCUAGACUGUUCUUUCCACUCUGUAACAACUUCUAUGCUUGCGCUACCAUGAUAUCACUACAACAUUUCCCUAUAAAAUUUUAGUAGUUGCAUGUAAACUGAAUUGAUUUACCAGUAAAAAUCUGGACAACUCAUUCCAGUCGAUAAUAACCAUUGUGGCAUUACCAUGAUAUGUCAUGUAUUUGCUCCGAGUCGUAGUAUGUUGCAGAAAGUAUAAUAAGAGAUAGAAUGUAUGCACUAUGGCGAAUGUAUGCAUUAUGGCUAGCAGUAACAUUUUUUUGACUUGCGCAGCAUUUGAUCUAUCUAUUUCUGCAGGCUAUUUCUCAUGUUGCAACCUUUUCCCGUAGAAUCAAAACGAGUUAGAUGGAAGAAAUUGCAGGAGGUAUAUUUCGUGUUCUACUUUUGGAGGCUUGUCUAUAGUAUUAGUGUUGGAGGUCUGUCAAUAGUAGUAUUAGUUUUGGAGGCUUGUCUAUAUUAGUCAUAUUUUUUGGAUUGCGUUUUUUUCCAUCUGCAUCCUCUGGAUUAUGUUUCUUUGUUAUUGCCAUGUGUUACUCUUUCUCAUUACUGUGAUCGUCAGUGCUCUUCACAGUGGUUGUUCUUGCUUUAUGGUUGCCUUCUCAGUGCACUUUUAUUAGUUGUAAUACAUUAAUAUAAUAUGCUCGAUUGACCAUAUUAAUUAUAUAUUGCACUUCACGGGGGGGCUGUUGGUGGAAGUGUUAGUUAAAAUAUUUUGGUGGCAGUGUAUAAAACUAACUGUUGUACACCAUUGUUAAGUGCACUUUUGAGCUUUGAGUAGACAACUGUGGUCUUAAUUACUUUAAAGGGUCGUUAGUAUAUAUUACUAUCGGAUUUUAAUGUUCAGUUAUUCACACUAUCAUUGCUUGAUUAUGAUAGCUUGCUAUUAUUAGAGAAGGAAUGGUAUUCCCGGCGUGACAUUCAAAAGCAGUCAAGAUGGUGAGGUUUAGAACGGAGGAGCUCCGCGGAAUUAUGGAUAGAAAAUAUCCAUAACAUGUCUGUCAUUGCCAUGUUGACCGCGGUAUGUGACCAAGCAGUGACAGCUGUCUCUAAUUAUCAAUUUUAUACAGUAGAAUCUUCUUGAUUGAUGAUUUUGUAGUCUUCUCUUAGUUGUACUAUAUUAAUUCUUAAAACUAGAUCAUUUAAAAUUAGUUAGAUUUAAUGAGUUGUUUCACUGUUUUCAAAUAAGUAGUUUAAGCCCUUAUUGUGUUCUGGAGCAUAUUCUUUCUGCCUUUUUAUGAUUGAUUUAUGCUCUCAAAAGCUUAAUUGUAACUAUCGGCGUAUAAUCUCAUGGCUCAAAAUCUUAAUUGUUGAAUGUAUUAAAAUUUAUGAUCUGGAGUUUGCACUAUAUUUCAUACAGCGGUAUUCCCAGUAACUGAAUGUUAAGAGAACUGACGAUCCCAGGUUGUACAUUCAGUUACUGGGAAAUGCUUUUAUCUUGUAGGCUAGUUUGACACUUACUUUUUCAAUAAUGAGAUGACCAUGAGCAGUGUAUCAAGGUCUUUUAAAUACUAACGUUGUGUUAAGAUUAGUAAAAGAAGGAUUGAUAGCGGCAUACCUUAACUCGACUGAUUCUUUAAUUGCUGCCUCUCUAAGCCUUGAUUAGCCAUGGAGAUACUGAAGUUCCAAAGCCACAAGUUAGGCCAUCCUUCUAAGAUCCGUUCAUCCCAGUUCAUUAAUUUGUUUGAAAUAUAUAUUUAUAUUCCAAAAUUGCUCAAUCUCCAGCAGGCCUCAAGGUUAUCAGAUGAAAUCCGGUUAAAUUUUCCUCUAGACUUAGUUGAAAGUAUUCCUUUUGUUAUCCAGUUUUUUGCUACGCAUGUUACCUUUGUCGCUGAAUAUUGCCUACAGUUUAUAUAUAGUAGACUCACAUGAUUACCUGAUGACUCGUUCACGCAAGAACUAUUGUCAAUUUUUUCCUUUUCUGCAAUGAUGGUCGUAGCCCUUUGAUUCUACAAGCCGCAAAGGAGCAAAGUGUAGAAAAAUAUGUCCAUUGUUGUUGAAUUGGUGGGAUUGUCACCAAGUUAGUGCUGCAGAUUGUUUCUAUUUUAGAGGAAGAAGCCAAAUCAUGUUGUUCAUUGUAAAUCUUGAAAAACUUGUUUAUUGUCACUUUUAUAUCUGUUAUAAACUUUUGUUCAUGAU
RNAcentral lists this long non-coding RNA (2474 nucleotides) under Triticum aestivum (bread wheat). Its description in RNAcentral is "long non-coding RNA (TAES_LNC025657)". Lineage: Eukaryota; Viridiplantae; Streptophyta; Magnoliopsida; Poales; Poaceae. The record is from RNAcentral.